Molecule: unclassified non-coding RNA, 379 nt
Filed under: uncultured Gammaproteobacteria bacterium
Lineage: Bacteria; Pseudomonadati; Pseudomonadota; Gammaproteobacteria
Description: contains 16S-23S intergenic spacer region
Source: RNAcentral
UCCAGCUUGUCACCGGCAGUCUCCCUAGAGUUCCCAACUUCACUUGAUGGCAACUAGGGACAAGGGUUGCGCUCGUUACGGGACUUAACCCAACAUCUCACGACACGAGCUGACGACAGCCAUGCAGCACCUGUCUCUCGGUUCCCGAAGGCACUCCCGCAUCUCUGCAGGAUUCCGAGGAUGUCAAGACCAGGUAAGGUUCUUCGCGUUGCAUCGAAUUAAACCACAUGCUCCACCGCUUGUGCGAGCCCCCGUCAAUUCCUUUGAGUUUUAACCUUGCGGCCGUACUCCCCAGGCGGAGAACUUAUCGCGUUUGCUUCGAUACUAAUGAGUUAUACCUCACCAACAUCUAGUUCUCAUCGUUUACAGCGUGGACUAC